This 515-nucleotide ribosomal RNA is filed under the name uncultured haloarchaeon. RNAcentral describes it as "bacterial SSU rRNA". It matches the Rfam family "Archaeal small subunit ribosomal RNA", at positions 345 to 859 of the family's 1478-position model. The record is from RNAcentral. Lineage: Archaea; Methanobacteriati; Methanobacteriota; Halobacteria; Halobacteriales; Halobacteriaceae.
AAACUUUACACUGCACGACAGUGCGAUAGGGGGACACCGAGUGCGAGGGCAUAGAGCCCUCGCUUUUCUGAACCUUAAGGUGGUUCAGGAACAAGGGCUGGGCAAGACCGGUGCCAGCCGCCGCGGUAACACCGGCAGCCCAAGUGAUGGCCGAUUUUAUUGGGCCUAAAGCGUCCGUAGCUGGCCGCGCAAGUUCGUCGGGAAAUCCACGCGCUUAACGUGUGGGCGUCCGGCGAAAACUGUGCGGCUUGGGACCGGAAGAUCUGAGGGGUACGUCUGGGGUAGGAGUGAAAUCCCGUAAUCCUGGACGGACCACCGAUGGCGAAAGCACCUCAGAAGGACGGAUCCGACAGUGAGGGACGAAAGCUAGGGUCUCGAACCGGAUUAGAUACCCGGGUAGUCCUAGCCGUAAACGAUGCUCGCUAGGUGUGGCACAGGCUACGAGCCUGUGCUGUGCCGUAGGGAAGCCGUGAAGCGAGCCGCCUGGGAAGUACGUCUGCAAGGAUGAAACUUAA